CACCUCGUCUCCACCCAAGCACGGUAAGCAAAAUGGGAAGUGAUGGUAUUUUCCAGACUCCUUUUAAUUGAGACUUUAUAAGUGUAAUGAACAAUCCAUAAAUAUAUGAAUAUGCUAACAUUAAAAAGACCCACAAUAAGCAAGUAGAAAAGAAGAAUGAGAGGUUAGAGAUAUUGACCGAAUUUUCACAUUAUGGAUAUAGUUAUCCUAGGUAUAACUAUAGCCUCAUCAAACUGAUAAUGCACAGUUAUUUCUUCCUAGCCCAUCAUUAUGUUGGAACCGUUGUUGGGUAAGCUAAAUAACAUGAGAGUUGUUUUAGCAAGUGGUUCUAAACAAAGAGCUAAUUUGUUGAGCAGUACGAAUUUAAAUUUUGAAGUAGUUCCUUCCAAUUAUGAAGAAGAUUUAGAUCCCAGAGAACAUACAUUUUCUGAUUUUGUGGAAAAUACUGCUCUUGGUAAGCUAAAUGAUGUUUAUGAGAAAUUGAAAAAUGAUAGUAGACAACCCGACAUUAUAAUAGCUUCUGAUACAAUGGUCGUAUAUAAUGGGAAAAUGUUUGGAAAACCAAAAACUAGAGAGGAAGCCAUUAAAACAAUAUCAGAAUUAACAAAGGCAGGACUUCCUAAUUUUGUGUAUACUGGGGUAAUUAUCUGGUAUAAAAAUAAAAUCCACAAAUUUACAGAAGUGACCACUGUUCAUAUGGCCCACCUUACAGAUGCAGAAAUUUUGGCAUACAUUGAUACAGGAGAACACAUAGGAAAGGCUGGUGGGUAUGGCAUCCAAGGCAUUGCCAGUACUUUUGUUACCAGAAUUGAAGGGGACUGCAACAAUGUUAUUGGUCUACCGCUUUGUAAAUUAGCUUUUACCCUUAAGAAUAUUUUAAACAAUAGUUGACAACAGUGAAACGUUAUAUAAUUUACGAAUCUUUGUUUUGUAUUCAUUUUUAACAUAUACAAAAGAAUUGCUAAUUAUUGCAAUGAGGAACUUUUCUUUGGUAUUUGGCUUACUGUAUGUAUACACUUGACCAAGGAAUAUUGAGAAAUGAAGAAGUUUGUACCUUAACUCUCGAGAGAGGUUGUUUAAAAUUAUAGGGUGCG
Cylas formicarius (sweet potato weevil) is the source of this 1094-nucleotide RNA transcript. It is a transcript of the gene named dTTP/UTP pyrophosphatase, with no coding region annotated. Lineage: Eukaryota; Metazoa; Arthropoda; Insecta; Coleoptera; Brentidae. The record is from RefSeq and is a predicted model, not a curated record. The transcript is spliced from 5 exons.